Molecule: ribosomal RNA, 455 nt
Filed under: uncultured Streptococcus sp.
Lineage: Bacteria; Bacillati; Bacillota; Bacilli; Lactobacillales; Streptococcaceae
Description: bacterial SSU rRNA
Rfam family: Bacterial small subunit ribosomal RNA
Source: RNAcentral
GCUGAAGGAGGAGCUUGCUUCUCUGGAUGAGUUGCGAACGGGUGAGUAACGCGUAGGUAACCUGCCUGGUAGCGGGGGAUAACUAUUGGAAACGAUAGCUAAUACCGCAUAAUAGUAGAUGUUGCAUGACAUUUACUUAAAAGGUGCAAUUGCAUCACUACCAGAUGGACCUGCGUUGUAUUAGCUAGUUGGUGGGGUAACGGCUCACCAAGGCGACGAUACAUAGCCGACCUGAGAGGGUGAUCGGCCACACUGGGACUGAGACACGGCCCAGACUCCUACGGGAGGCAGCAGUAGGGAAUCUUCGGCAAUGGACGGAAGUCUGACCGAGCAACGCCGCGUGAGUGAAGAAGGUUUUCGGAUCGUAAAGCUCUGUUGUAAGAGAAGAACGAGUGUGAGAGUGGAAAGUUCACACUGUGACGGUAUCUUACCAGAAAGGGACGGCUAACUACGUG